CUACCCAACUCUACGGAAUAACGCAUGGAAACGUGUGCCAAUACCGUAUACGCCCUUCGGGGGAAAGAUUUAUCGGAGUUGGAUGAGCCCGCGUUGGAUUAGCUAGUUGGUGGGGUAAAGGCCUACCAAGGCGACGAUCCAUAGCUGGUCUGA
This 153-nucleotide ribosomal RNA is filed under the name uncultured Pararhizobium sp. RNAcentral describes it as "partial 16S ribosomal RNA". It matches the Rfam family "Bacterial small subunit ribosomal RNA", at positions 126 to 295 of the family's 1533-position model. The record is from RNAcentral. Lineage: Bacteria; Pseudomonadati; Pseudomonadota; Alphaproteobacteria; Hyphomicrobiales; Rhizobiaceae.